AUUUAUAUAGUUUAUAAAAAACAUUAUAUUUUCAUUAUAAAAAAAGAAUCAAUCUUAUAAAUA
RNAcentral lists this transfer RNA (63 nucleotides) under Calvia decemguttata. RNAcentral describes it as "tRNA-Glu". Lineage: Eukaryota; Metazoa; Arthropoda; Insecta; Coleoptera; Coccinellidae. The record is from RNAcentral.